CCUUCACUCCCAAUACAAGCCAUAUUUAAUGACAUUGGAAGCUUUUCUACAUCCCUUUUCAAAACUUCCACCCAUUAGGUCUUUCCCUCCUAUUGUCUGGCCCUUCUAUACAAACCUAAGCGCCUAUCUUUAUCUGAUCUCCUAGGAUCUUUGUUGCACAAGUCCAUACAACCCAAUAGGUUCCCAUCAUUGUUCCAAACUUACAAAGCCCGUACUCCCCAUUUAAUAUUCAUAUACUCAUUCCUGAAUCUACCUGCCUAGAUUACCCAUAUAUUUGCCUUGCCAUUCACAUCAGUCAUUGACACUCCUUAUUGCCCAAUGUUUUGAACCAUACAACAUAUUUAGACCUCAUUGUUCAAUGAAUAUUUCAACCAAGGUUCACCAUCUUGGUGUAGGACCUGUACCUAUACCAUCCUAUUAUAGUGCCGAUAUGUGGUACGGUACAGCAAGAUUCAGUGCACUAAGUACCGGUAUGGUAUAGUAUCAUGUACCAGUUCGGUAUCGGUAUAAUACAGUACCGACUGGUAUGGCAAACCUUGGUUUAAACAAAAGAACCAAAUCAUCAGUUAAUCACAUCCAAAAGCACCUCGCCACUUCACAUCUAACUGAAUAUUAUUCUAUCAUAUAUGUAUUAUGCCAUAAAAAUCU
RNAcentral lists this long non-coding RNA (648 nucleotides) under Elaeis guineensis (African oil palm). RNAcentral describes it as "long non-coding RNA (EGUI_LNC063906)". Lineage: Eukaryota; Viridiplantae; Streptophyta; Magnoliopsida; Arecales; Arecaceae. The record is from RNAcentral.